Molecule: ribosomal RNA, 1089 nt
Filed under: Escherichia coli
Lineage: Bacteria; Pseudomonadati; Pseudomonadota; Gammaproteobacteria; Enterobacterales; Enterobacteriaceae
Description: partial 23S ribosomal RNA
Rfam family: Bacterial large subunit ribosomal RNA
Source: RNAcentral
CAUAGGUUAAUGAGGCGAACCGGGGGAACUGAAACAUCUAAGUACCCCGAGGAAAAGAAAUCAACCGAGAUUCCCCCAGUAGCGGCGAGCGAACGGGGAGCAGCCCAGAGCCUGAAUCAGUGUGUGUGUUAGUGGAAGCGUCUGGAAAGGCGCGCGAUACAGGGUGACAGCCCCGUACACAAAAAUGCACAUACUGUGAGCUCGAUGAGUAGGGCGGGACACGUGGUAUCCUGUCUGAAUAUGGGGGGACCAUCCUCCAAGGCUAAAUACUCCUGACUGACCGAUAGUGAACCAGUACCGUGAGGGAAAGGCGAAAAGAACCCCGGCGAGGGGAGUGAAAAAGAACCUGAAACCGUGUACGUACAAGCAGUGGGAGCACGCUUAGGCGUGUGACUGCGUACCUUUUGUAUAAUGGGUCAGCGACUUAUAUUCUGUAGCAAGGUUAACCGAAUAGGGGAGCCGAAGGGAAACCGAGUCUUAACUGGGCGUUAAGUUGCAGGGUAUAGACCCGAAACCCGGUGAUCUAGCCAUGGGCAGGUUGAAGGUUGGGUAACACUAACUGGAGGACCGAACCGACUAAUGUUGAAAAAUUAGCGGAUGACUUGUGGCUGGGGGUGAAAGGCCAAUCAAACCGGGAGAUAGCUGGUUCUCCCCGAAAGCUAUUUAGGUAGCGCCUCGUGAAUUCAUCUCCGGGGGUAGAGCACUGUUUCGGCAAGGGGGUCAUCCCGACUUACCAACCCGAUGCAAACUGCGAAUACCGGAGAAUGUUAUCACGGGAGACACACGGCGGGUGCUAACGUCCGUCGUGAAGAGGGAAACAACCCAGACCGCCAGCUAAGGUCCCAAAGUCAUGGUUAAGUGGGAAACGAUGUGGGAAGGCCCAGACAGCCAGGAUGUUGGCUUAGAAGCAGCCAUCAUUUAAAGAAAGCGUAAUAGCUCACUGGUCGAGUCGGCCUGCGCGGAAGAUGUAACGGGGCUAAACCAUGCACCGAAGCUGCGGCAGCGACGCUGAUGCGUUGUUGGGUAGGGGAGCGUUCUGUAAGCCUGUGAAGGUGUGCUGUGAGGCAUGCUGGAGGUAUCAGAAGUGCG